GCGAAAGUGGCGGAAUUGGUAGACGCGCUGGCUUUAGGUGCCAGUGGGGUUACCCCGUGAGAGUUCGAGUCUCUCCUUUCGCACCA
This 86-nucleotide transfer RNA is filed under the name Gammaproteobacteria bacterium. RNAcentral describes it as "tRNA-Leu". It matches the Rfam family "tRNA". From Rfam's summary of the family: Transfer RNA (tRNA) molecules are approximately 80 nucleotides in length. Their secondary structure includes four short double-helical elements and three loops (D, anti-codon, and T loops). Lineage: Bacteria; Pseudomonadati; Pseudomonadota; Gammaproteobacteria. The record is from RNAcentral. RNAcentral also lists the same sequence under 1 other name.